RNAcentral lists this ribosomal RNA (466 nucleotides) under uncultured bacterium. RNAcentral's name for it is "partial 16S ribosomal RNA". It matches the Rfam family "Bacterial small subunit ribosomal RNA", at positions 28 to 507 of the family's 1533-position model. The record is from RNAcentral.
GAUGAACGCUGGCGGCGUGCUUAACGCAUGCAAGUCGAACGGAAAGGCCCAAGCUUGCUUGGGUACUCGAGUGGCGAUCGGGUGAGUAACACGUGGGUGAUCUGCCCUGCACUUCGGGAUAAGCCUGGGAAACUGGGUCUACUACCGGAUAGGACCACAUUUUGGUUUGUGUGGUGGAAAUUUUUUGGGUGUGGGAUGAGCUCUCGGCCUAUCUGCUUGUUGGUGGGGUAAUGGCCUACCAAGCCGUCGAAGGGUAGACGGACUGAGAGAGUGUAAGGCCACAGUGAGACUGAGGGAAGGCACAGACGCCUACGGGAGGAAGAAGGGGGGAAGACUGCACAAGGGAAGCAAGCCGGAUGCAGAGGAGCUGCGUGGGGGAAGACGGAUUUCGGGGGGAAAAAAACAUUCGGGAGGGAAGAAGCGUUAUGUGACGGUACCCGGAGAAGAAGCACCGGCUAACUACGUG